GUAAGGCCGAUGUAUGCGACAUAUGUCACCCCAUUGAUCACCGGGGUGGAUUGGGCUGAUCUGGCUGGCUAGGCAGAGGUCCCCUUCUUCCCCUACUGCUCCGUGUGUGUCCCUCCUGAAGCUGUGUGCUCGAUUGAAGAAGACGACCACCCUUGAUAGAAGAGGACUGUUUCCUUGGUCGAGGGUAUAUGAGUAGCUAUGUUCCCCUGCUAGAACCUCCAGACCAGCUGUCAAGUUACAGUAAGGCCUCUGGUCAACAGCAGGGUAUUGGUAGUUAAGUUUUUUGGGAAUCAAAAGUGUUUUGGGAAUCAAAAUACGUGGAUUU
This 325-nucleotide small nuclear RNA is filed under the name Chinchilla lanigera (long-tailed chinchilla). Its description in RNAcentral is "7SK RNA (ENSCLAG00000021717.1)". It matches the Rfam family "7SK RNA". From Rfam's summary of the family: 7SK was discovered as an abundant small nuclear RNA in the mid-70s but a possible function has only recently been suggested. Two independent studies have found that 7SK RNA binds the CDK9/cyclin T complex (known as elongation factor P-TEFb). The record is from Rfam by way of RNAcentral. Lineage: Eukaryota; Metazoa; Chordata; Mammalia; Rodentia; Chinchillidae.